Long non-coding RNA from Aquila chrysaetos chrysaetos, 4682 nucleotides. RefSeq lists it as uncharacterized. The record is from RefSeq and is a predicted model, not a curated record. Lineage: Eukaryota; Metazoa; Chordata; Aves; Accipitriformes; Accipitridae. The transcript is spliced from 6 exons.
ACAUGGAAAGCUUUAAAAAGAAUGAGUAGUACUGUGUGCAGCAAAACUAAUGAUGUCUGGUUUCCCUCCUGUCUCUUGAUGUCUAAGAAAAGGUGAUCUCAUUAGCCUCUUUCACAACAAAUAAUAAUAGGGUGUCUCUUCUCCAUCCACUUGCCAGUUCUCAUAAAAUUAUAAAAACUGCUUAUCUUUAGGGUCUUUACCGCUCUAAAAUGAUGUUCAAGAAUUACUGUGAGUUGGACAGACAGACUGACAUGGGAGACGAUUGCAUUCACUCAUUUUUGGAAAUUUACUCAAUUACCUAGAAAACCAGGCUACAAAUUGCCAUCUCUCCUUAUUUUGAUAUGUUAAUUCUGAGAAUUCCUAGCCAGCUUACUGUAGAAGAGAGAGAUCUGGACACACUCUUUUCCAGUCUCUUUAUUGUGGACUUCCACAUUUUUCUCCCCGUAGGUGAAACUCUGGUUACAUCAGGCGGUUACAAGGAAUAGCACAAAGGUUGCUCUUGCCUGCUUGCCAUGCCCCUGAACUACAACAAAGAAUUACAAUUGAGAAGUGGGAAUCCUUCUGCGGCUUUUUCACAGCUGCUAACAUAAACAAAAAUUGCAGCUUCUAGCCAGAGGUACGUGUAGAUCAGCAGCUGUUCUUGACCAGUCGCCCUUUAGUGGCACAUCCCCUGCUUAGACCCUUGUCCAUGUCAGCUUAAACACUUUGUAGCUUGCGGGGAUCUCAAGAAAAAAUUCUGUAACAGACUUGUGUGUGUAUGUGCAGGUCUAAUGCCGUGAGGGUUUAAGAGAACGUUAUCAUAAAAACCAAGCACAGUAUAGGUUGUUCAUUAUCACAAUGAUACUAACAAGAUGAGAGUAGUUAUUUGGAGGAAACAAAGCCCUGUAACUUGUAAAGGUCCUGGUAAUUUUUGUGACGUUGCCACAGUCCAUCCCUUUGAGCUUGGGCAUAGCCUGCAAAACGCCCAUUAAGAGCUGGUGUGGAAGUGAACUGUUGCAUGAUGAUUCUGUAACAUGCUUAAACGUUAGUAAAAAACAUACCUAUGGGAACCUGUUACUUGAUGCAACUUACAUAUUGGGGAUUUGCCUGGCUGCAGGUAGCAGCUCCAGGUGAGUGCAAAAAAGGUCACAGAAGAGGAGGUUACAAACAAGAGGUCAAAGGGCUGAACAGAAACCUGUAAGACACCUACAUCAACCAAUGCAGAGAUUUUACUGGCUAAUACACUGUAAUGCUGAGCCUUGCUUACAUAAGAAAGUAUAUAUGGGAUGAUCUACCUGCAAAAGCAUCUUAAAUUGGCUGGUCAAUGGCUGCUCUGUGCAGAGACACAUAUUAUACCAUACUGAUAACUGAUACUAGACCUGAGCGAAAGAGUCAUCUGUCAGACGGCCUUGGCUCCAAAUGCUUCCUGAGCAAUUCAGAAGACGAGGGAAAUGGUUCCAAAUCUUCAUUCCCCAUAGUGACGUCUUCCACUCCCGUGGCAAAGCAGAUGGAGGUACCAGCUACAUCACGUGCUGAGGAGCGAGCCUGUUCCCUCGGUGCAGUCUGUGCAAGUCUCAUCAGAUGCCGUUCUUCUGGAGGUCAGGAGAUGGAAAAUGACAGAGAAGCAGAAACUUCCCGUUGACUGGAACUUCCUCAGUGAAUUAGCAUGGAGAACAACCAAUUUAAAUAAGAUGCCAUAGAUAUGUAAGCUACUAAAGGAUAAACUGACCUUAGAGGAAUCAAACAGAGAUCAAUAACUGAGACAAGAAUUGGCUCUUAUUCUCCUGUUUGAAUAUAUUCCUGUUGGUUACCUGCUCCUUGCCUACUCAUAUGGUAAGUGUAGUCUUUUGGAAAAAUUAAGGAAUUGUAUCCAAUAAUCCAUUACAGUCUCUGCACCUCACACUGCAUUAGAAGAAAAGUCAAUAAUGUAAUGAUGAGACCUAUUUAACCUUUGAUAAUAUUUCUUCAUUGGAGCAGUAUCUUCCAAACUUGGUUAGGACCGUUACAAGAGGGAGUUUUCCAAGGCCUGCUGGGACUUCUUGUCUUGAGAAUACUUUGAUGUCUGAUACCGGAAUUACACAAAUGUCCAACAUAAUUUCUCUGAGCCCAUAUAGUAUUUUACCUGACCUUCACAGCUGUCUUGCUUUGAAUGAAUAUUGUCCUGAAUUGGUUUGGGGUUUGUUUCUUUUCUUUCUUUUUUUUUUUUUUUUUUUUUCCUGGCAAUACUGCAGCAGUUGCCCCAUGUUAGUUUUAAAUGUAAGAUAUAGUCUGUUCAGUUCAACAUUGAAUACUACUGUAUGUUUUUUCCUGCACAUUUUGUCCCUUGGAAUGUGAAAUCAUCAUGUGAUGUACACUGAUGACAGCAAUGUUAUCUCCAGAUUCUCUGGGCAGCCUCUAUGUUGUUAGGAAAGUACCUAUUUUAUGAUACUUCCAUCAGUCCUCCUCUCUGCUGUCCAUAGUUUCCAGCUGUUGCUUGUUAUCAUGCUCCUUCCUCUACAACUCUACUGUUCUCUCUUGUGAAGAGAUAUUGUUCUCCCUGUCCCUACUUGUGCACUAUUUUUGUAUUAUGAGACUGCUGCUGUUGCUAUUUCAGUUCUGUUUGGCUCAUCUUCUGUGUAUUGAGGCCACCUGAUACAGGACUUCUGCUUUGGGAAUGUUAUGAAGCUUGCUGCACAUGUAUGGAUGAAAAUCAUAAAUACAAGGAUGUCCUUUACAUGUUGUGCGAAUACUUCAUUUUGUCAGAUUCUGCAUGUGAGCAUGAUGAAGAAGGGAGAAGGGAAGAAGUAACAGCUGUUGACCAACUUUGCCAUUCAUGAGGGUUGAAUGAGAAGUAGGAGUAUGGAGUCAGGGUUGAGUGACUGUCAGGAGCACUGGCACAAAAGAGUGGAGGGAGUACAAUCUGGUUCAGACCUUUGCGGUGAGAGAUUGGUACUACGUAGUCUUAUUCUGAGUGACUCCUGUGGGUGCACUACUCCCCCAGCAAUCAACGUUUGCAUGCACUCUUAUGACUCAAGCCCCCGCAAAAUAUUCACAGGAAAUUUAUGUAUAUACAUAUAAAUAAACAAAUGUGCUCUUGAAUGUACCCUACAGAAAGAUGGAAGACUUUAAGGGUGUCAUAGUCUGUGUCUUAAUUAGAUAUUCUCUUCUGAAUUUCAUCUAAAGAUGCAAAAGCAGGUCCCAGAGCAUGUCCUAUUCAUGCUGCAGUUCCUUGACUCAUGUUUUCGAAAAGCCUCUAAUACCACUUGAUUUGUCAGUUGAUAUACAUAUGACUGAGGAUUUAGUUUGAGGCUCUGAGAACCUGCACAUUAGCACAUGUCCAAAACUGCCUUUAUACACAUAAGGAUUUUUUUUUAUCAUUUCAUAACUUUUUAAAAUUAACAAAUAUAUACAUAACUGUAGAGAUAUUUUGUGAAAUGACACGGGAAAGCAGUUACAACAAAAAGGAUAAAAAAUCCACACACUUAGGCUGCCUUAUUUAGUUUGUCAAAAACACUUGAACUGUUGAGUGAAUCUAAUGGAAUUCAAUGAAUCUGCAAGUACAUUUUCAGUCCAUUGAAAAUGACUGUUAAUUCAAGGUUACUUCAUAAAACUGAAUCAUGAGCAAAGAUUAUUUGGUGAAGAUGAAAAAGGCAAAGAAAUAAAACAAACAAGCAAAUGGGUAUUAACAACUUAGAAAUUAGAACAAAGGAAAAAUGUUAACAGAGGUUUGUGCCAAUAAAAAGUAUUUUUUUUCUUACAGGGUCUUUCUUUGACUGUCAUUGGCCUAUCUAUCUGUUCACUAUGUAGAAAAAUUAUCUAUUGACUUCAAUAGCAGUAUUUCAAUUCAUGCAGGCAACCAUUUCCACUUGAAAAAAUCAUAAAUAUAAUUCAUGAGUGUUUUCUUAGACAAAUGGAAUUGCAAAGCUAUUCCUUUCUCCAUAUAUUUUUCACCCAAAUUCCAUUUUAAAGUAUUAUUUUGAGGUAGCAUUAAAAUAUGAAUAAAUUUAGUAACUCAUAAGCUUUUGUGGUUAUAUUUUCUUUUACAUAUAUUCUUAUGAAAGAAACAUUUGUCUUGUUAAUUUUUCUUCAUUUCUUGCCUUCAAUUGGCAUGGGAAGCACGAGAUGCUUAUAAGAUUACAAUUAUCUACUCAGUAAGAAAGGUUAUUUAUCAAGUAUAGAAUUACUGAAAACAUAAAGGAAUUAGUCUCUUUCUCCCCUUUGUUUUCUGUGCCUGUUGUUUCUGUUCCAAUUCUCUAGCUAGAACUGAGUUGCUGUCUAGACAACUGUAAUUCCAUCUUUCUUUUACACAGGUAGUAAGAUUAACUAUUGAUUUGGCCUACCCACAAAACUCCAAAAUAUAAAUGCAAACUGUGUUUGCCAAAAGGAAAUGGUGCCUGAUUAAGCUCAUAUCUUUUAAUGUUAAACUAGAUAAUUUUCAAGAUAAAGCAAAUAGAGUAAGUUUAUUGUAAGUUUACAUACUCUACUUACUGUAUAGCAAGUCUAUUACAUGGCAAUUCUACUGGAAUUUAUAUGCUUACACUUCAGUAAGUCAUCUGAAAUGGUAUCACUUGGAAACCUUUUAGUUUAGCAGCAGAAUGUAAAUAGUAAUGGAGGAAUGGUAAAGUGAUCACAUACUGGCUAAAGAGUGCACACAAAGAGAGCAAGCUAGAGGGAGACUGCCGGUGGAAGUUUCUGGUACUGGUCAUAGGAAAAAUGUCAGUUAA